AGGGCACUACAAUAGAAUCAGAUAUUGCAAAUCAAGUGGCAUCCACUAGCAAUCAACAACAACUCAUGUUAACUCAAGAAGAAAUUCAGCUCUUUAAAGAACUAAUCUCCUCAACCAAAGCAAAUAGCAAUCCUGGUAAUAUUUCUUCUUUUUCAUUCAACAUAAACUCUUACAUUGAUAAAUGGAUAGUAGACACCGGGGCAUC
RNAcentral lists this long non-coding RNA (205 nucleotides) under Zostera marina. RNAcentral describes it as "long non-coding RNA (ZMAR_LNC004951)". The record is from RNAcentral. Lineage: Eukaryota; Viridiplantae; Streptophyta; Magnoliopsida; Alismatales; Zosteraceae.